This 72-nucleotide transfer RNA is filed under the name Trichobilharzia regenti. It matches the Rfam family "tRNA". Rfam says of the family: Transfer RNA (tRNA) molecules are approximately 80 nucleotides in length. Their secondary structure includes four short double-helical elements and three loops (D, anti-codon, and T loops). The record is from Rfam by way of RNAcentral. Lineage: Eukaryota; Metazoa; Platyhelminthes; Trematoda; Strigeidida; Schistosomatidae.
GAGUCGGUGGCAAAGAGGUAGAAUGCUCGCCUUCCAUGCAUGUGGUCCGGGGUUCGAUCCCCGGCCGACGCA